Molecule: ribosomal RNA, 253 nt
Filed under: uncultured bacterium
Lineage: Bacteria
Description: partial 16S ribosomal RNA
Rfam family: Bacterial small subunit ribosomal RNA
Source: RNAcentral
CACGGGGGGAGCAAGCGUUGUUCGGAAUCACUGGGCGUAAAGGGAGCGUAGGCGGGCUUCUAAGUUAGGUGUUUAAUCCCGGGGCCCAACCCCGGUCGUGCACUUAAAACUGGAAGUCUUGAAUAGUGGAGAGGUCAGUGGAAUUCCUGGUGUAGCGGUGAAAUGCGCAGAUAUCAGGAAGAACACCCGUGGCGAAGGCGGCUCUCUGGGACGGUACUGACGCUGAGACGCGAAAGCGUGGGGAGCGAACAGG